GGAUGAGGAGUUGACCUAAAAGGUUAUCUUUUUAAUAAAAUCUUUCAAAUUUACUUUUCAGUAAAAAGGCUGAAAUCACCCUCAAAGACAAGAAGACCCUGUAAAACUUUACAUUUUAAAUUACUUCUAAUAAUUUUACAUGUUCUGCUGGGGCGGCCGGGAAAUAAACAUUCCUAAAUUUUCAUAAACUAGCUUAUCAUACCUAGAAUUUCUAAAAUUAAAAUAAGUUACUUCAGGGAUAACAGCGUUAUAUAUUUUGAAAGUCCUUAUUGACAAGUAUGUUUGCGACCUCGAUGUUGGAUUAAGGUAUCUUUUUUCUGCAAAAGGAUAAAAAGAGGGUCUGUUCGACCUUUAAUUCCCUCCA
RNAcentral lists this ribosomal RNA (364 nucleotides) under Tityus uruguayensis. RNAcentral's name for it is "partial 16S ribosomal RNA". The stretch from base 56 to 364 matches the Rfam family "Bacterial large subunit ribosomal RNA", at positions 2048 to 2600 of the family's 2925-position model. The record is from RNAcentral. Lineage: Eukaryota; Metazoa; Arthropoda; Arachnida; Scorpiones; Buthidae.